Molecule: non-coding RNA, 95 nt
Organism: Roridomyces roridus
Lineage: Eukaryota; Fungi; Basidiomycota; Agaricomycetes; Agaricales; Mycenaceae
Source: the annotation of a GenBank genome assembly
UCUUGACUAGUAUAUCGGUUUAGUACACCCGCUUGUCAUGACGUAGGGACAGAAGUGUUACGCGGGAGAGCAGGGUUCGACUCCCUGGUCGAGAG